Molecule: ribosomal RNA, 435 nt
Filed under: uncultured bacterium
Lineage: Bacteria
Description: partial 16S ribosomal RNA
Rfam family: Bacterial small subunit ribosomal RNA
Source: RNAcentral
GAUGAACGCUGGCGGUAUGCUUAACACAUGCAAGUCGAACGGACUCUUCGGAGUUAGUGGCGGACGGGUGAGUAACGCGUGAGAAUCUGGCUUUGGGUUCGGGACAACCACUGGAAACGGUGGCUAAUACCGGAUGUGCCGAGAGGUAAAAGAGAAAUUGCCUGAAGAUGAGCUCGCGUCUGAUUAGCUAGUUGGUGAGGUAAAGGCUCACCAAGGCAGCGAUCAGUAGCUGGUCUGAGAGGAUGACCAGCCACACUGGGACUGAGACACGGCCCAGACUCCUACGGGAGGCAGCAGUGGGGAAUUUUCCGCAAUGGGCGAAAGCCUGACGGAGCAAUACCGCGUGAGGGAAGAAGGCUCUUGGGUUGUAAACCUCCUUUCUUAGGGAAGAACAAAAUGACGGUACCUAAGGAAUCAGCAUCGGCUAACUCCGUG